Long non-coding RNA from Oncorhynchus tshawytscha (Chinook salmon), 581 nucleotides. RefSeq lists it as uncharacterized. The transcript has 3 exons. Lineage: Eukaryota; Metazoa; Chordata; Actinopteri; Salmoniformes; Salmonidae. The record is from RefSeq and is a predicted model, not a curated record.
AGUCAUAGACUGGUCUCUCUGCUACCACACGGAAAGCAGCACUGGAGCGCCAAGUCUAGGUCUAAAAGGCUUCUUUCACGACACACUUUGAACUUUAGCCUCUUUGAAUCACCUCUCUGUUUCCCUCUCUCUCUCUCUCUCUCUCGUAGGCUUCAAAUCCUCUCCUGAUGCCAUUACCUACAAAGAGAAGGAGAAUCUUAUCAUCAGUGCUGUAGAGUUUGAAGAAGCUGGGCUUCCUUAAGCCACAGGCAAAGAGAUUGACAUGCUUUUGGAGCAGCAGGACCAAUUCCAUGAUGCCUCAGGUGUUGAUAAACCUCCUUACCCAGAAACUCCUCUACAGCUCCCCCUCUGGCUGUGAGUAUUAUAGCUCCUCUCUACAGCGCCCCCUCUGGAUGUGAGUACUAUAGCUCCUCUCUACAGCACCCAAUCUGAAUGUGAGUAUUAUAGCUCCUCUACAGCGCCCCCUCUGGCUGUGAGUAUUAUAGCUCCUCUCUACAGCACCCAAUCUGAAUGUGAGUAUUAAAUCAAAUCAAAUCAAAUCAAAUUUUAUUUGUCACAUACACAUGGUUAGCAGAUGUUAA